Molecule: ribosomal RNA, 690 nt
Filed under: Cercospora canescens
Lineage: Eukaryota; Fungi; Ascomycota; Dothideomycetes; Mycosphaerellales; Mycosphaerellaceae
Description: partial large subunit ribosomal RNA
Rfam family: Eukaryotic large subunit ribosomal RNA
Source: RNAcentral
AAUCAGGACGUCAUAGAGGGUGAGAAUCCCGUAUGUGACCGGCCCGCACCCUUUACGUAGCUCCUUCGACCGAGUUGUUUGGGAAUGCAGCUCUAAAUGCGAGGUAAAUUUCUUCUAAAGCUAAAUACCGGCCAGAGACCGAUAGCGCACAAGUAGAGUGAUCGAAAGAUGAAAAGUACUUUGGAAAGAGAGUUAAAAAGCACGUGAAAUUGUUGAAAGGGUUGCGCCUGCAACCAGACUUCGUGGCAGUGUUCCGCCGGUCUUCUGACCGGUUCAUUCUCUGUCGCGAGGCCAUCAUCGUCUGGGCCCGCCGGAUAAGACCUGAGGAAUGUGGCUCCCCCUCGGGGGAGUGUUAUAGCCUCUGGUGAUGCGGCGAGGCUCGGGCGAGGUCCGCGCUUCGGCAACCAUGAUGGCGUAAUGGUUGUCGGCGGCCCGUCUUGAAACACGGACCAAGGAGUCUAACAUCUAUGCGAGUGUUCGGGUGUCAAACCCCUACGCGUAAUGAAAGUGAACGGAGGUGGGAACCGCAAGGUGCACCAUCGACCGAUCCUGAUGUCCUCGGAUGGAUUUGAGUAAGAGCAUAGCUGUUGGGACCCGAAAGAUGGUGAACUAUGCCUGAAUAGGGUGAAGCCAGAGGAAACUCUGGUGGAGGCUCGCAGCGGUUCUGACGUGCAAAUCGAUCGUCAAAUU